This 698-nucleotide ribosomal RNA is filed under the name uncultured Verrucomicrobiota bacterium. RNAcentral describes it as "bacterial SSU rRNA". It matches the Rfam family "Bacterial small subunit ribosomal RNA", at positions 44 to 715 of the family's 1533-position model. The record is from RNAcentral. Lineage: Bacteria; Pseudomonadati; Verrucomicrobiota.
GUGGAUAGACAUGCAAGUCUUAACGAGGAACUUCGCCGAAGCUUGCUUCAUGAAGUUCCUAGUGGCGGACGGGUGCGUAACACGUGAGCAACCUGCCCAGAAGAGUGGGAUAGCCUGAGGAAACUCGGAUUAAUACCACAUGUGAUCGUCCCGAACCUUCGGGAUUGCUUAAAGGUGGCCUUUGUGCUGCCGCUUCUGGAUGGGCUCGCGGUUUAUCAGCUUGAUGGUGAGGUAAAGGCUCACCAUGGCUACGACGAAUAACUGAUCUGAGAGGAUGAUCAGUCACACUGGAACUGAGACACGGUCCAGACACCUACGGGUGGCAGCAGUCGAGAAUCAUUCGCAAUGGGGGAAACCCUGACGGUGCGACGCCGCGUGGAGGAUGACGGCCUUCGGGUUGUAAACUCCUGUCAUCAGAGAGUAAGACUGCGGGUAGUAACUGACCUGCAGGUUGAUAGUAUCCGAAGAGGAAGAGACGGCUAACUCUGUGCCAGCAGCCGCGGUAAUACAGAGGUCUCAAGCGUUGUUCGGAAUUACUGGGCGUAAAGCGUGCGUAGGCGGCGAGGUAAGUCAGAUGUGAAAUCCCGGGGCUCAACCCCGGAACUGCAUCCGAUACUGCCUUGCUAGAGUAGUGGAGGGGAGUCUGGAAUUCACGGUGUAGCAGUGAAAUGCGUAGAUAUCGUGAGGAACACUAGUGG